RNAcentral lists this transfer RNA (75 nucleotides) under Ovis aries (sheep). It matches the Rfam family "tRNA". Rfam says of the family: Transfer RNA (tRNA) molecules are approximately 80 nucleotides in length. Their secondary structure includes four short double-helical elements and three loops (D, anti-codon, and T loops). Lineage: Eukaryota; Metazoa; Chordata; Mammalia; Artiodactyla; Bovidae. The record is from Rfam by way of RNAcentral.
UCCCUGGUGGUCAACAGUGGCCAAGACUCUGAACUCCCAAAGCAGGGGACCCAGGUUCGAUCCCUGGUCAGAGAA